RNAcentral lists this transfer RNA (65 nucleotides) under Ectatops sp. Its description in RNAcentral is "tRNA-Tyr". The record is from RNAcentral. Lineage: Eukaryota; Metazoa; Arthropoda; Insecta; Hemiptera; Pyrrhocoridae.
GAUAAGAUGGCUGAAUUUUUAGGUUAUAAAUUGUAAGUUUAUAUAUGGUAUUAUACCUCUUAUCA